Acanthochromis polyacanthus (spiny chromis) is the source of this 3530-nucleotide long non-coding RNA. RefSeq lists it as uncharacterized. The transcript is spliced from 15 exons. NCBI's taxonomy places the organism in Eukaryota, Metazoa, Chordata, Actinopteri, Pomacentridae. The record is from RefSeq and is a predicted model, not a curated record.
CCUUAAUUAUUCAUAUUGCACAACCAUGCCUCUUGUCCAAAGAAAUCCAGGAGGAAAAGAAAGGAACAAUAAUUGUUGGAUGCCAGUGGAUGAAUAUCCAUGCGUUGCUAAUUACUGUUUUAAUUCCGAAUGUGCAUAUUAACAUUGAAAACGAACUUAAUGAAAUCCUCCGUUGUGUCUUUGCCGCGAUGCCCAUCCUUGGCUCCGUGCCCGAUGCCAGCAGACCUUGCUGGAACCACGGAAACGUUCCUCCCGACCCAGAGAGUACCCCGAACUGUGACUCAAGCCAGUUGAAAUCCUGAUCUGAUCUACUUCUCCUCAGUCCUCUCAACGGGAUGAGACCGUCCAGAGACUAGAACAAGACGUGCCACUCUCUCACCAGGCCCGUGACUCCGAGGCUGCUCAGGAUUCCUUAUGCAUCAGCGACACCGCAGCGACAUCACACAUACUGGACUAAAGCCUCUGUCCAAGUGAACCAGGAGCUAGCUGGACAUCCUGAAGCAAGGAUCUCUCAGUCACUGGCUGACCUGCAGAGGGCUGAUUGGAUCUCAAGAGGAACAGUCGUAUGCAGGAAAAUCAGAAGCAGCUUCAGAGCCUGACUCCACAGGCCCAGGAGCUCCAGAGCCAGUGGGAGGAAGCCGGACUACCUGGAGAAAACCCACGCUACACAGAGAGAACAUGCAAACUCCAGGCAAAGGAAGCAAAAGGAAGGCUGGGAUGCGAACUGGGGAUCUUCUCGCUGCAAGGCGAAACCACCAAUCCACUGUGCAACCUCACGGAGGAGGCAUGUCAAAUCUAAAGUAAUUGGGUCAUCAGGCAACGAUGGGAGCAUUGAUGGAAAGUGAGCAGGAGUGAAGAGCUCAAAGUGAAGCUAAGAACCUGCCACUACAUCCAGAGGUGUCCAACAUGGCCGCUUAAAUGAGCAGGAGGAGGUGAAGAGGCAGAAUGAAGAACAGAUUUCUGAGCUACAGGUGGAAACGAAUGCUACUGGAGGAUGGAAGGCAAGAGCUGCAAAGAAAGUGCAGGAGUUUGCCUUGAAGCUGGAGGUGCUAAUCCUGCAAAUGGAGGUCAAGAAUCCCCAGAAUGGUCAGAAACUGGAGGAAAGCAGGCUCUGCCCCAGCAGUGUGCCCAAGGCGUCCAGGAGUGGAGUCUGUGUCUAGCAGAGGUGUGCCACAGCUGAGUGGAGGUGUCCACAUUCACCCAGCUCAAAGACAGCUGUCUGGGAAGUAGACUGACAUUUGCAAAAAAAAAAAGAACUGUUUACUAAAUUUACUUUCUAUCGCUAGUUAUUACAAAAUUGUUUGAGGCUACGUGUGUUUCCUGACUGAGUGCUUGCAUCAGUUUGUAGAGAUGUUGCACCUGUGGGAGGCAGAGGUCCUGUCAGAGGCCGAUGUAGUCAGCAGGAGAUAACAGCUCUGGAGCAGAGGGUUACCACAAUGGAGCAAGACCUAGAGGCUCCUCACAGCCGAACCACUGAAAGAGAGCAUGCACCAGCUGGGACCGUCCCCUCCAAAUGAAUGAAGCAAUUAACUGGCACACAUACGCUCUGACAUACUACACUCAUUAUGUCCUCUCACUUCCUCCACAGCAUCAAGCAGAGAUGCAUCUGUUGAAGGCACAGGAGUCUAGAGAGGUACAGUGGAGGCACAAGAGCAAGCAGCUGGAGGCUGAUGGUAGUACUCCAUCGACACAACACACAGUGACCCAGCAUGGCUUCCUCUCAGCCCGGCUGCUGAGGCAGACGCAGGAGUGAACCUAGGCCACGACCACCGCAAAGACUCAGGUGUGUGGGCCAGUCGCUCGAUAGACAGAUCAUUUCAGGUGGAAGACCUCACGUGAAAUCAGAUGUUUAACUGGCCGGCUGAAGUGGGACAGGAGCAUCUUAACCAGCACCUUGCCAAAGGUCUCGUGUUCGCUCAGCCACCGGGGCCGCUAGAAAUGACGGGAAAGAGGAGGAGAAAGAGAUGGACAAUGAUAAUCAACAAAAGGCCCAGCCAGAUUCAAAAUGGGAACUUUGCAGGCCUGUUUGAGUGAGGACAUUCUGGCAGAUCUGAGUGUCCAACUCCCAGUGAGGCCAACACUAGUGGAUGCUUUGCUGGCAGCGUGGGAGGUGUGUCAUUUUAAUAAAGGCCCGCAUGAAUCCACCUGCUGGAGGGAGUGAAGGCUCAGCAAAUUGAGGGCAGGAGAUUCAAAGCUGAGCUUGAUGGGGAGACUGAAGAAAAGAAGACAUAAUAAGUGAGUUAACUACAUGAGGAGCUCUGAUUAGCAGAGGAGAAGAGUCACUGCCAGCCUCCCCCAGCAGCCACAAAUGUCGCAGAGUUGGAGGAGUUUCUGCUGAAGAUCUUCUCCUUCAAGGGACCUUGUCCUCGAGUGGAGAGGAAACACCAGUGCCUCCUCUCAGAUUUGGACUUAACUUUGAUUGAGCAGGUCUCACCUUUCUAAUCCAAGGGACAUUCAACUUGUAAUGACAAGCACCUAAAACACAGGAAAGGAGGAUUUGUUUAACCUCACCAAGAUUUCAUAAAGGAUUUGAGAGUCUUGAUUAAGUGUCCCAAGAGGAAAAAAAGGAAAAAAAAUGUCCCAAAGUACAGAGUUUAGUUUGCAGUCUCGUUUGAGUUUUUACCUGAUGUUCUGUUGUUGUUUCGAUUUCAAAUGAGCAGAUGAAGCUGUUAUUAUAAUUACAGUAUGUAAUUUAAAAAUAUAUAUAUAAAAUAUUAUCAUGAAAAAAUGUUUGAUUAGAUUGACUUAUAUAAAUUUUAUCGAUUUAGGUGAAAUGUUCAUUUUAUACCCAACUAUUUUUUAUCAUAACCUCUUGAUUCACAUCACUGUUUUAGUUUCAGUCACUUUUUAGUGCAAGUUAGUUGAACAAAUGACUAACUAAAAGGAAUAUGUAUCUAUAUUUCAUUAUUAGGUGUCAGUGCAUUGAUUUCUACAAAAGAAAAGUAGAGCACUUGUGUUUUAAGUCACAUAUAGCAACUACUCCUACAGCAAUAGACCCACAGGCCAAUGUAGCCAAAAUCUUAAUGAAUAUGACCAGAUAGACAAGAAAUUGCAGCCAAAUAAAAGAAUAAUAAAGGCAUCUAAACCCUAACAAGUCUGCCUUUGUUCUUCCACUCCACCCACCACAAGCAGGCAUUGUUGCAGCUUUGAGGGCAGCUCUGAGAGUUCCAUGCCCAUCGGCCUUCAAUCACAUGGGAUGUCUGAGUUUGACAGUAUAAAGUCUUUCUUCUAGAACAAAAUAAGACCCCUAAGCAAUAGUGGAUGAGCUGUUAGUAACCGUACAGUCCACAGGGAGGUAGACCAAGCAUAGUAGUACAGUAUACACAAAGUGCUGGUUAGGGAUAAGACAAUGGACCAGUAAAAGCAUUACUGGAUGCUGCAACACUCUUAAAUUUCUUACUGUUUGCCUCAACCUUUCUGUUUUCUUUGGUCCAUCUGGCUUCACAAACCAAAGUCAAUGUAAACGGAACUUAAUCUGGUUAAAAUCCAUUUAAUUGCUGACUUCAAUAAACAGUAUUAAAAGUAAUAAA